GCCUGGCAUAUGGCAAGCUUGCAAUCUCUAUAGUUAUGAGUUAUUACUAUUAUUACCAUUAUUAUAUUUCUAGGAUAUAGGAGAAUUAAGUGAAAUAAUGUGUGUGAAGUGCUUAGAAUACUGGCUAGCAAAAUCUCUUUCAUGAUCCAGUGGAAGAUCCCAUGAUACUCAAUCCUCCUCGGACCCAGGUCUGUGAUCCAGUCUUAUCCGCAAUGUCAGACAGGUACAGAUGUGCAUCUGAAGCUGGAACUGAUAACAGGGACACCUGAAGAGACUAGGUCAUGUGGCCGUUGGGUGUGAAGGCUGAGGGUGAUAAAUGGUGGGAUUUUAACACAGCAGUAUCAUUGCAUAGAGCUGACUGUGAUUACAGCGGUCAUCUCCUUAGCGGUUUGAGCAGGAAGACGUGAUUAUUGGUGUGGUACGAGAUGCAAUAUUUAGAAAGAAUCUAGUGAUAGUGAUAAUGAAGGCUGUUAGAUUAAUUUGCCAAGAAAGUAAGGAAUUCCUAGGAAAUGGAAUUAUUUUGCCUCAAACAACAGAGGCUAGGAGACGCUGAGGAGUAUUUUGUGAUGAUGCUGAGUAGUUUAGAGAUUUUAUCCUCAGCAAGUUUCCCAUCAGCUAUUCAUUUAGAAUGAACACUAUUGGCUGGCUUAUACACUGCUUUUGAACCACGUGUUAAAUUACAUGAAUGGACACCUUUCUCUGUGUGUGAGUAGUUGUUAAGAGCUUGGUUUUUGAAGCCAAAAUGACCAACGAGAUUCAGAUCUUGGCUCUGCCAUUUAUUAACAGCGACUUUGGGCAAGUGACUUCACCUGUCUGUGCCUCAUCUGUAAAUCAGGAACAAUAAUAACACCAAUUCAUAGCCAGCCUGGCUUGCCACAGUCCACCUACUGGUAUUCACACCCACGUGUUGUUCCCUGCUAUGUAGUACCAG
This 931-nucleotide long non-coding RNA is filed under the name Homo sapiens (human). RNAcentral's name for it is "HSALNT0047570". The record is from RNAcentral. Lineage: Eukaryota; Metazoa; Chordata; Mammalia; Primates; Hominidae.